RNAcentral lists this ribosomal RNA (465 nucleotides) under Vreelandella stevensii. RNAcentral's name for it is "partial 16S ribosomal RNA". It matches the Rfam family "Bacterial small subunit ribosomal RNA", at positions 338 to 795 of the family's 1533-position model. The record is from RNAcentral. Lineage: Bacteria; Pseudomonadati; Pseudomonadota; Gammaproteobacteria; Oceanospirillales; Halomonadaceae.
CCUACGGGAGGCUGCAGUGGGGAAUAUUGGACAAUGGGGGCAACCCUGAUCCAGCCAUGCCGCGUGUGUGAAGAAGGCCCUCGGGUUGUAAAGCACUUUCAGUGAUGAAGAACGCCUGGUGGUUAAUACCCAUCAGGAAAGACAUCACUCACAGAAGAAGCACCGGCUAACUCCGUGCCAGCAGCCGCGGUAAUACGGAGGGUGCGAGCGUUAAUCGGAAUUACUGGGCGUAAAGCGCGCGUAGGUGGCUUGAUAAGCCGGUUGUGAAAGCCCCGGGCUCAACCUGGGAACGGCAUCCGGAACUGUCAAGCUAGAGUGCAGGAGAGGAAGGUAGAAUUCCCGGUGUAGCGGUGAAAUGCGAAGAGAUCGGGAGGAAUACCAGUGGCGAAGGCGGCCCUCUGGACUGACACUGACACUGAGGUGCGAAAGCGUGGGUAGCAAACAGGAUUAGAUACACUUGUAGUC